UACGGCCAUAUCACUUGGAACAUUGGUUCUCCUACGAUAACGAAAGUUAAGCAACGUUCAGUGUGGUCAGUACCUAGAUGGGUGACCGCUUGGGAAUACCGUGUGCUGUAUU
This is a non-coding RNA of Acanthosepion pharaonis, 112 nucleotides long. The record is from the annotation of a GenBank genome assembly. Lineage: Eukaryota; Metazoa; Mollusca; Cephalopoda; Sepiida; Sepiidae.